GGGGACCCCAACGAGGGGAGGGAAUCAGCCCGAGGCAUAAAUCCAGCCUGGGAAAAUCCAUCCAGUUUAGCAGCAAUGGGAGCAAGGAGAGAUUCUUGUCCUAGAGAUGAACGGCAACGAUAGGUGGCAAUCCCAGGUCUGCAAGAGGCGAGGAGGCGUGUGCGCAUACGUGUUAUUUAUUGCCUCCUACCGGGUAUGUUCAAAACUGCUGAACACACUUUUUGGCGUGGACCCGAACUGACUCAUCCUUUAGAGAGCAGCUCGUCGCGAGAUGAUGCUUUGGGGGCUCUUCCAAUUCCCGCAGAACACUCGUGUCGGAGUCCAGCGGCGGAUCCCUGGGAUGGCAGGAGCCAUGGGGGGCGUGGUGGAUGUUGGAAAAAGGAUGGUGGGGGUGGCCAGCCUGGAAUAGCCAUUCCUAAUUCCAGGCUUGAACCAGAAAAGGCAUCACGGGAGAUACUGGGGAAGAAAAUGGCUUUCCAUGGUGAUGCCACCUGAAGGCCUGGUCCCUGCCAGGCUUCUGCUCCUCCAGCUGAUGUGUCAAAACCCCAAAGAAAUAUAUUUUCUAAAUGGGCUAUUUGCUUUCCUUUACCAUUCACCAUAAACACAGCUUUUUGUCUCAUAGCAAAGAUGCACUUUUGCUUUUAUAAGCCCGUCUUAAGCACUACUUCUUACAUCAAUGGCUUUAAAUGAAAAAAGAAAGCUCUUUUGAAUACAAAUGUGGCAUUUACUUCCUUAAUGCCUCUCUUGCGCUAAGCUACCUUCAAACCCAUCAGAGACACUUUAAUAUAUUGAACAGAACUCCCCUCAUUUUGAUGCUAAUGCAGCAUUUCAUGCAGAUAAUGUGCUUGAAUCAUGCGCUGAAAUACAUUAAAGGUGAAAUCUAGAGCUUCAAGGAACUGCUGGUGGCUCAGCUCUCUCCUCCUUCUCCAUUUGCAUCUGCAAGCCAGGUCUUGCCAAGCUCUUUGGCAGGUCCAAGGCCAAGCUUGUCUUCUAUAGCUUUGUUUAUGUCUUUUAAUUUAAUUAAAAAGCCUAAAUCACCUCAUUUUUUCAUGCCAUUUCAUUGUAAUGGGACCCUCACUCAUGGGACUCCAUGCUACAGGAUGCUCUGGAGGGCAAAAUGAGCUUCACCAGCUCAAGGAGAAGAGGUUUUGAGGGGUUUUUAAGCAUCAUCAUCUGGGUACAGCCUCCAGCACCCCUGUGCCAGGAGAUGCUCAAAGCUAGAAAUCAAUUUUUAAGCAGGAAAAGCAUCUCCAUGUUCUUGGUUUACUGCUUUCAAUCCUCCUCCUCUCCUCUUGGCAUCUUUUGGAGCAGAAAUUGCUGACUCUACCUGGAUGUUUUAUAAUGUUCCUG
This 1350-nucleotide long non-coding RNA is filed under the name Athene cunicularia (burrowing owl). RNAcentral's name for it is "lncRNA (ENSACUG00000006416.1)". The record is from RNAcentral. Lineage: Eukaryota; Metazoa; Chordata; Aves; Strigiformes; Strigidae.